Molecule: ribosomal RNA, 253 nt
Filed under: uncultured bacterium
Lineage: Bacteria
Description: partial 16S ribosomal RNA
Rfam family: Bacterial small subunit ribosomal RNA
Source: RNAcentral
UACGGAGGGUGCAAGCGUUAUCCGGAUUCACUGGGUUUAAAGGGUGCGUAGGAGGACAGGUAAGUCCGUGGUGAAAUCUCCGAGCUUAACUCGGAAACUGCCGUUGAUACUAUCUGUCUUGAAUAUUGUGGAGGUGAGCGGAAUAUGUCAUGUAGCGGUGAAAUGCUUAGAUAUGACAUAGAACACCAAUUGCGAAGGCAGCUCGCUACACAUAUAUUGACUCUGAGGCACGAAAGCGUGGGGAUCAAACAGG